GCCGGAAUGGCGGAAUGGCAGACGCGGAGCACUCAAAAUGCUUUGUUCGAAAGGACGUGUGGGUUCAAAUCCCACUUUCGGCACCA
This 86-nucleotide transfer RNA is filed under the name Microbacteriaceae bacterium. RNAcentral describes it as "tRNA-Leu". It matches the Rfam family "tRNA". From Rfam's summary of the family: Transfer RNA (tRNA) molecules are approximately 80 nucleotides in length. RNAcentral also lists the same sequence under 4 other names. The record is from RNAcentral. Lineage: Bacteria; Bacillati; Actinomycetota; Actinomycetes; Micrococcales; Microbacteriaceae.